This 458-nucleotide ribosomal RNA is filed under the name uncultured bacterium. RNAcentral's name for it is "partial 16S ribosomal RNA". It matches the Rfam family "Bacterial small subunit ribosomal RNA", at positions 338 to 795 of the family's 1533-position model. The record is from RNAcentral.
CCUACGGGUGGCAGCAGUGAGGAAUAUUGGUCAAUGGGCGAGAGCCUGAACCAGCCAAGUCGCGUGAGGGAGUACUGCCCUAUGGGUUGUAAACCUCUUUUGUCGGGGAGCAAAAGCCGGACGUGUCCGGCUGUGAGAGUACCCGAAGAAAAAGCAUCGGCUAACUCCGUGCCAGCAGCCGCGGUAAUACGGAGGAUGCGAGCGUUAUCCGGAUUUAUUGGGUUUAAAGGGUGCGCAGGCGGAUUUUUAAGUCAGCGGUAAAAUCGUGGGGCUCAACCCCAUCCAGCCGUUGAAACUGGGGAUCUAGAGGAUCAGAGAGGAUUGUAGAAUUCCUGGUGUAGCGGUGAAAUGCGUAGAUAUCAGGAGGAAUACCGUUAGCGAAGGCGGCAAUCUGGCUGGAAACUGACGCUGAGGUGCGAAAGCGUGGGUAGCAAACAGGAUUAGAUACCCGAGUAGUC